This 71-nucleotide transfer RNA is filed under the name Ilyocoris cimicoides. Its description in RNAcentral is "tRNA-Lys". The record is from RNAcentral. Lineage: Eukaryota; Metazoa; Arthropoda; Insecta; Hemiptera; Naucoridae.
CAUUAAGUGGCUGAAAGUAAGCAAUGGUCUCUUAAACCAAAAAAUAGUAAUUUAACACAUACUCUUAAUGA